UACGGGAGGCAGCAGUGGGGGAAUAUUGCACAAUGGGCGCAAGCCUGAUGCAGCCAUGCCGCGUGUAUGAAGAAGGCCUUCGGGUUGUAAAGUACUUUCAGUCGUGAGGAAGGUGUUAAGGUUAAUAACCUUAGCAAUUGACGUUAGCGACAGAAGAAGCACCGGCUAACUCCGUGCCAGCAGCCGCGGUAAUACGGAGGGUGCGAGCGUUAAUCGGAAUUACUGGGCGUAAAGGGCACGCAGGCGGUUAAUUAAGUUGGAUGUGAAAUCCCCGGGCUUAACCUGGGAAUGGCAUUCAAGACUGGUUAGCUAGAGUCUUGUAGAGGGGGUAGAAUUCCGAUGUGUAGCGGUGAAAUGCGUAGAGAUGUGGAGGAAUACCGGUGGCGAAGGCGGCCCCUGGACAAGACUGACGCUCA
Molecule: ribosomal RNA, 416 nt
Filed under: uncultured bacterium
Lineage: Bacteria
Description: bacterial SSU rRNA
Rfam family: Bacterial small subunit ribosomal RNA
Source: RNAcentral